Molecule: long non-coding RNA, 583 nt
Filed under: Cricetulus griseus (Chinese hamster)
Lineage: Eukaryota; Metazoa; Chordata; Mammalia; Rodentia; Cricetidae
Description: lncRNA (ENSCGRG00000025839.1)
Source: RNAcentral
GGGCGGGAGGGGGUCAGAGUUGGGUGAUGAAAUGUCUCCAAGGUUUAGGGUGUGCCGUGCCCCAAGGCUCCUCUGCCUCCCUAAAGACUGCAGGACCAGCGAGGGGGUGGGAGAAGUCUCACUUGCCCCAACCCAGCAAGCCCCUGGGUCCCAGGCGGCUAGAGGCUGGGGAAAAACAUGGAGCUGCGAGCUGCAUUCUGCCUAUUGUGUACUCAGCCUGGUUGGAUCUCGCCUAUGUCAAAGGAAGGAAGAGCAGUGGGAGAGAUCACAUCUAUGGAGCAUUUCUGAAGACAGGGCUGUUAGAGCUGGACAUUGAAGAAUGAGUGAGAUGUGGACAGGACUUCACUCACUCACAUGGUAAAGAGAAAUUGUAGUGGCAGCUCUCCAGCCUGCAAGAGGACAUUUCGUUAGGUGGUUUCUUGUCUACAUUUGUGAAAUACUUGGAUGUUUCUUACAAAUUUACCUGUCAUAUUAACACUUUCAUACCCAGACAUGGUGGUGCAUGCCUGCAAUCUCAGAAACUCAGACUGCUGAGGCAGAACGAUUGUGAGUUCAGAGUUUGAAGCAAAUCUGAAGUGCAUAG